Molecule: long non-coding RNA, 1587 nt
Organism: Tachysurus fulvidraco (yellow catfish)
Lineage: Eukaryota; Metazoa; Chordata; Actinopteri; Siluriformes; Bagridae
Exons: 3
Source: RefSeq, a predicted model, not a curated record
AAAAUACAUUAUAGUACUAACACCCAGGAGAGUAAUUUGUGGUAAUAUAGAGAAGAUGCAGGUCCACGAGGACAUCCUGGAGGGCUGGAGGAGAUGAGGGUACGUUUACUUUUGCACAGUCACUUCCUCCAUUCCUCUGUUUUGGAUUCUUCCAUAUUAGGCCAUGAAAUUAAGUGUGUUUUUCUCCAGGGGAAAAUGAAGGGAAUUCCUGAGCGAGUUGCACUGGCAGAGACUCUGAAACUCGCCGAUCACACGUUACUGCUCUUCAGAAACACACUGAGGAAUGUGUGGUAUUUACUAAACCCCAACCAGCUUCCAGUUAUCAUCCAGCUUUGCUCAUAAGUUUGUCCAUGUCUCCACUGAGCCCACAGUUCUUCAUCUGCAUGCUGAAGGAAUCAGAGUGUGACUUAACAAGACUGAGAUGAAGCCUGAGGGUGCAGAUGGUGAAGGUUUCAUGUUGAUCAGACCAGGAUGAUGCUGUAAGAAGGUGUUCUUCAUGAUCUUCUUCUAAAAAGUCCAAGGAGUCCAUCUCACCACUGAGAAGAAGAGACAAUGAAAAAUUUUAGCUUAGUACAGAAAAAAUUUAUAUGAUUCAUAAACAAACCUGGUGACCAAGACCAAGGUUCCUCCUUCCUGUCCUUCUAGCACCUUAAGGGGUUCCUGUAAGAACUUAGGAUGUGGAGGAUUGAGCAACUUCACAGAUGUAUGUUUUAGGAGAAAACUGUUCAGCAGUGACCUUUUCACCAGGAGGCUGAAGCUCUGGAUGCAAAGACCACACAAGUUUAUUCUGAGAGCCCAGGAUCUCCAUCACUGACAGAUGGAGUCUACAUUUAAUAAGAGGUUGACUAAUACUGCUUAAAGCCAGUUGCACAUGAUCUCUCCGUAGAAUUUAGGAGUUAGUAGAACUUCAUCUCAUGGCCAGUGACAACUCCAGAAACACCAACUGCUUGUUGGUGACACCAGAAAUACGACACUGUGGAUGGUUUUUAUUUCCAAAAAUAAAGAGAAACCAGGAAGAUUGCUGACAUUUUGUUGUGUGCAUCAGUUAAUUACAGGAGUUUACACACUGAGAGAGAAGACAGGAGAAGACAAGAGAAGACAAGAGAAGACCGGGAGAAAGGAGCAGAUCAGUGCUGAGGGACAAACGGGGCAGGAGCUUCGUCCUGGAUCCCGCUGUCCUCAAACCGCUUCCCUUAUAAGGACAAAAGAAUGCUCAUACGUCAUCUGGGAAGCGCGAGGGUACAGAGGGGGUGUGGCCAAGUUGGUUCACACCAAUCAAACGACCGGAUAACAGUGUAGUCCGCCUCUGAUUGGCUGUGAAGCUGUGGUAGCGGUGAGCUAGGGCUCGUGUUUCAAAUGACUCCGUGCUCCCUACAGCAGAGACCAGUGAUUCACUUCAUUAAUGUGAUUCACUUCAUUAAUGUGAUUCACUUCAUUAAUGUGAUUCACUUCAUUGAUGUGAUUCACUUCAGUAAUGUGAUUCACUUCAGAAAAAAUCACUGCCUCAAAAUCUAAAACUCAUUCAUAUUUACAUUUAUAAAUAAAAAAACUAAGCUAAUGAAUAAAUAAUAAAAUAAUAAAUAUUUA